AAACUAUGUAAUCUAUGUAUACACACAACUACCAUAACUUGGAUCAGCAGUAACGACUUGACCAGUACCAGUAAAAUUACACGCCUCUUCAGUGCUUCCGUGAUUCUGGUAGAAAUCAUUCAUCACAAAUGAUGCAUGACUAACAAGAGUAUCCGGAUCAAAGCAAGAUCCACCAGGAUUGAUUGUUGCACAAUCAACUUUUCCUUCACUACAUGCCCAAUCAAUAUUAGCUUGUAAUUGUGUACUUGCCGCCGAUACAUUUGCCACACACCAUGUUUUGGCCGAGACAUGAAGAGGGUGGAUUACAACGAGAGAGAAAAGGAAUACAACUGUCAAUUGCGGAAACAUUGUGGUGUUUUACUUGUGAAUAAUAAUUUUAAAGAUAUUAUAAUAUAUAUAAUAAAAUAAUAUUGUGG
Molecule: long non-coding RNA, 416 nt
Organism: Arabidopsis thaliana (thale cress)
Lineage: Eukaryota; Viridiplantae; Streptophyta; Magnoliopsida; Brassicales; Brassicaceae
Product: other RNA
Exons: 1
Source: RefSeq